Molecule: unclassified non-coding RNA, 248 nt
Filed under: uncultured Russulaceae
Lineage: Eukaryota; Fungi; Basidiomycota; Agaricomycetes; Russulales; Russulaceae
Description: sequence contains ITS2
Source: RNAcentral
AAUCUUCAACCUUCUCUGUUUCUUUUUGAUCGGGGAAAGGCUUGGACUUUGGAGGCCUCUGCUGGCAUCUCAUGAUGUCGGCUCCUCUUAAAUGCAUUAGCGGGGGUUUCCUUUUGUCAAUCCUCGACGUGAUAAAGUUUUUCUACGUCUAGGUCUUGACUUUAAGACCCGCUUCUAAUGGUCUCAUUGAGAGACGCUUGGUCGAGUUUUGCCCCUCAGUUGGGGUGGGACUUUGGCCCAUACGAACC